RNAcentral lists this ribosomal RNA (430 nucleotides) under bacterium. RNAcentral describes it as "bacterial SSU rRNA". It matches the Rfam family "Bacterial small subunit ribosomal RNA", at positions 354 to 776 of the family's 1533-position model. The record is from RNAcentral. RNAcentral also lists the same sequence under 1 other name.
GUGGGGAAUUUUGGACAAUGGGCGAAAGCCUGAUCCAGCAAUGCCGCGUGCAGGAUGAAGGCCUUCGGGUUGUAAACUGCUUUUGUACGGAACGAAAAGCUUCGGGUUAAUACCCUGGAGUCAUGACGGUACCGUAAGAAUAAGCACCGGCUAACUACGUGCCAGCAGCCGCGGUAAUACGUAGGGUGCAAGCGUUAAUCGGAAUUACUGGGCGUAAAGCGUGCGCAGGCGGUUUUGUAAGACAGAGGUGAAAUCCCCGGGCUCAACCUGGGAACUGCCUUUGUGACUGCAAGGCUAGAGUACGGCAGAGGGGGAUGGAAUUCCGCGUGUAGCAGUGAAAUGCGUAGAUAUGCGGAGGAACACCGAUGGCGAAGGCAAUCCCCUGGGCCUGUACUGACGCUCAUGCACGAAAGCGUGGGGAGCAAACAGG